UGGGUUUCUUUCAUAACUGCAGUACAAAUCAUUUGUUCACGUCUAUUAUUCUUAUUGUGUAGCCAAAGUAAUUCUCAUCUGUAGAUUCAGAAACGAUUGAAAAUCAGAAGUUUUAUUCGUACGUCCCUAAAACUAACACAAUACUUUUUCGUUUGGUGAUAUGUGUAACUGUUCACACCAAUGUAAAUCAUUGUUUUAUGAUACUGACCAUAGUGACAUUUUUUUUUUAUCAUUUUUAAAGAUUUAUUUGUA
This 252-nucleotide long non-coding RNA is filed under the name Mytilus galloprovincialis (Mediterranean mussel). Lineage: Eukaryota; Metazoa; Mollusca; Bivalvia; Mytilida; Mytilidae. The record is from RNAcentral.